UCGAUGGUAGGUUAUACGCCUACCAUGGUAGUAACGGGUAACGGAGAAUAAGGGUUCGACUCCGGAGAGGGAGCCUGAGAAACGGCUACCACAUCCAAGGAAGGCAGCAGGCGCGCAAAUUACCCACUUCCAGAACGGAGAGGUAGUGACGAAAAAUAACGAGACAGUCCUCUUCGAGGUCUGUCAUCGGAAUGGGUACAAUUUAAAUCCUUUAACGAGGUUCUAUUGGAGGGCAAGUCUGGUGCCAGCAGCCGCGGUAAUUCCAGCUCCAAUAGCGUAUAUUAAAGUUGUUGCGGUUAAAACGCUCGUAGUUGGAUCUGCGGUCGAGGAGAACGGUCCCCCGAAAGGGUGGUCACUGUCUCUCCUAGCCUAAAUUCGAGUCGUCUCUAGGUGCUCUUUACCGGGUGCCUAGAGUGACUAGAACGUUUACUUUGAAAAAAUUAGAGUGCUUAAAGCAGGCGAAAUAGCCUGAAUAAGGUGCAUGGAAUAAUGGAAUAGGACCUCGGUUCUAUUUUGUUGGUUUUCGGAGCCUGAGGUAAUGAUUAAGAGGAACAGACGGGGGCAUUCGUAUUCCGGCGCUAGAGGUGAAAUUCUUGGACCGCCGGAAGACGGACGACUGCGAAAGCAUUUGCCAAGAAUGUUUUCAUUAAUCAGGAACGAAAGUUAGAGGUUCGAAGGCGAUCAGAUACCGCCCUAGUUCUAACCGUAAACGAUGACAACCAGCGAUUAAUCGGCGUUAAUAUACGACCCGAUUAGCAGCUUCCGGGAAACCAAAGUUUUUCGUUUCCGGGGGAAGUAUGGUUGCAAAGCUGAAACUUAAAGGAAUUGACGGAAGGGCACCACCAGGAGUGGAGCCUGCGGCUUAAUUAGACCCAACACGGGAAAACUCACCCGGCCCGGACACCGUAAGGAUUGACAGACUGAGAGCUCUUUCUUAAUUCGGUGGGUGGUGGUGCAUGGCCGUUCUUAGUUGGUGGAGCGAUUUGUCUGGUUAAUUCCGAUAACGAACGAGACUCUGGCCUAUUAAAUAGACGGUAUAUCAUCUAAGUAUAUCGCACUUCUUAGAGGGACAAGCGGCGUCUAGCCGCAUGAAAUAGAGCAAUAACAGGUCUGUGAUGCCCUUAGAUGUCCGGGGCUGCACGCGCGCUACACUGAAAGAAUCAGAGUGCGCUAUACCUAGUUCGGAAGAACCGGGUAACCCAAGUAAAUUCUUUCGUGCUUGGGAUAGGGAAUUGCAAUUAUUUCCCUUAAACGAGGAAUUCCCAGUAAAUGCGGGUCAUAAGCUCGCGUUGAUUACGUCCCUGCCCUUUGUACACACCGCCCGUCGCUACUACCGAUUGGAUGACUUAGUGAGGUCUUAGGACCGAGGUAAAGGUGCCUUAACGGGUGCUUUUGCUUUGGAAAUUUGAUCGUACUACGUUAUCUAGAGGAAGUAAAAGUCGUAACAAGGUU
This 1452-nucleotide ribosomal RNA is filed under the name metagenome. Its description in RNAcentral is "SSU rRNA". It matches the Rfam family "Eukaryotic small subunit ribosomal RNA", at positions 322 to 1801 of the family's 1831-position model. The record is from RNAcentral.